AGAGUUUGAUUAUGGCUCAGGAUGAACGCUAGCGAUAGGCCUAACACAUGCAAGUCGAGGGGCAGCGCGGUGUAGCAAUACAUUGGCGGCGACCGGCGCACUGGUGAGUAACGCGUAUGCAACCUACCUACAACAGGGGCAUAACCCGGAGAAAUUCGGACUAAUACCGCAUAAAACAGGGGCUCCGCAUGGAGAUAUUUGUUAAAGAUUUAUCGGUUGUAGAUGGGCAUGCGUUCCAUUAGUUAGUUGGCGAGGUAACGGCUCACCAAGACAUCGAUGGAUAGGGGAACUGAGAGGUUUAUCCCCCACACUGGAACUGAGACACGGACCAGACUCCUACGGGAGGCAGCAGUGAGGAAUAUUGGUCAAUGGGCGAGAGCCUGAACCAGCCAAGUCGCGUGAAGGAAGACUGCCUUAUGGGUUGUAAACUUCUUUUGCAGGAGAAUAAAAAGAGGGACGUGUCCCUUAUUGCAUGUACCCUGCGAAUAAGCAUCGGCUAACUCCGUGCCAGCAGCCGCGGUAAU
RNAcentral lists this ribosomal RNA (524 nucleotides) under uncultured bacterium. RNAcentral describes it as "bacterial SSU rRNA". It matches the Rfam family "Bacterial small subunit ribosomal RNA", at positions 8 to 524 of the family's 1533-position model. The record is from RNAcentral.